UCCAUGGAUUAACCCCUGAACACACCCAUUCUCAUCUGAUAUCAGAAGCUAAGCUGGGUUGGGCCUGGUUAGUCUUUGGAUGGGAAACAAAUGAGUAUUUAUGGCU
This 106-nucleotide ribosomal RNA is filed under the name Dasypus novemcinctus (nine-banded armadillo). Lineage: Eukaryota; Metazoa; Chordata; Mammalia; Cingulata; Dasypodidae. The record is from RNAcentral.